GGUUCCGGGCCGCGCGGCGCCAUGGCCUCGCUGUGGCGGCUGAAGCGGUUCGAUGCCUUCCCCAAGCCCCUGGAAGACUUUCGGGUCAAGACGUGCGGGGGCGCGCUGGUGACGGCUGUCAGCGGGCUCAUCGUGGUGCUGCUUUUCUUCUCGGAGCUGCAGUACUACCUCCCCAAGGAGCCGGUGGCCUUGACGACGGGAGCGGGCUGCCCUCCCCCGAGAGCCGCCCUGCGCCGAGGUGCUUCGAUAGCAGGCCGAGACCACAGACCUUGGCAGUCUCCUUUGUGAAGAGGGAUCGCAAGGAACUGUGCUGAUGCUGCAGGGGGAAGUGGAUUACAUUUCAGCGUAACAGCUUCUGUGGCAGCUGGAAACAGUCCUCCUUGUACACCGAACCAAACCCCGCAUUUAGGGUGCUGCAGUGUGCAUCUUGUUCCCUGUCCAGUAUCCGUCACAGUGUACUGACUGGGUCUGCUUCAGACAACAUUCUAACAAAGCCUUUGUGCAAGUAACGUCUGAUGGACGCUCCAGGAAGGCUUACAGAUAGCCGGUUCUUUCUCUGGAGGCUGUUCUUGAGAUGACGAAUGCUACUCUGUUAAUUGGUGUUAUUUCACACCUCAGCAGGCUCUAUGCAUACCAUUUCAGAGCUGGGGAAAGAAGAAGUGUUUGAUCCAAACUCUUUGGAUGCUGAUGGCUGCGAGAGCUGUUGUGGGGCGGAGUCAGAGGACGUUCGGUAACCUUUACACCUUUUUGUAUCUUCUUAGCACUUGA
Gymnogyps californianus (California condor) is the source of this 768-nucleotide RNA transcript. It is a transcript of the gene named endoplasmic reticulum-Golgi intermediate compartment protein 3-like, with no coding region annotated. The transcript is spliced from 5 exons. The record is from RefSeq and is a predicted model, not a curated record. NCBI's taxonomy places the organism in Eukaryota, Metazoa, Chordata, Aves, Accipitriformes, Cathartidae.